RNAcentral lists this ribosomal RNA (2037 nucleotides) under Staphylococcus aureus. RNAcentral's name for it is "partial 23S ribosomal RNA". It matches the Rfam family "Bacterial large subunit ribosomal RNA", at positions 888 to 2925 of the family's 2925-position model. The record is from RNAcentral. Lineage: Bacteria; Bacillati; Bacillota; Bacilli; Caryophanales; Staphylococcaceae.
GAUGAUUAUUGGAGGUAGAGCACUGUUUGGACGAGGGGCCCCUCUCGGGUUACCGAAUUCAGACAAACUCCGAAUGCCAAUUAAUUUAACUUGGGAGUCAGAACAUGGGUGAUAAGGUCCGUGUUCGAAAGGGAAACAGCCCAGACCACCAGCUAAGGUCCCAAAAUAUAUGUUAAGUGGAAAAGGAUGUGGCGUUGCCCAGACAACUAGGAUGUUGGCUUAGAAGCAGCCAUCAUUUAAAGAGUGCGUAAUAGCUCACUAGUCGAGUGACACUGCGCCGAAAAUGUACCGGGGCUAAACAUAUUACCGAAGCUGUGGAUUGUCCUUUGGACAAUGGUAGGAGAGCGUUCUAAGGGCGUUGAAGCAUGAUCGCAAGGACAUGUGGAGCGCUUAGAAGUGAGAAUGCCGGUGUGAGUAGCGAAAGACGGGUGAGAAUCCCGUCCACCGAUUGACUAAGGUUUCCAGAGGAAGGCUCGUCCGCUCUGGGUUAGUCGGGUCCUAAGCUGAGGCCGACAGGCGUAGGCGAUGGAUAACAGGUUGAUAUUCCUGUACCACCUAUAAUCGUUUUAAUCGAUGGGGGGACGCAGUAGGAUAGGCGAAGCGUGCGAUUGGAUUGCACGUCUAAGCAGUAAGGCUGAGUAUUAGGCAAAUCCGGUACUCGUUAAGGCUGAGCUGUGAUGGGGAGAAGACAUUGUGUCUUCGAGUCGUUGAUUUCACACUGCCGAGAAAAGCCUCUAGAUAGAAAAUAGGUGCCCGUACCGCAAACCGACACAGGUAGUCAAGAUGAGAAUUCUAAGGUGAGCGAGCGAACUCUCGUUAAGGAACUCGGCAAAAUGACCCCGUAACUUCGGGAGAAGGGGUGCUCUUUAGGGUUAACGCCCAGAAGAGCCGCAGUGAAUAGGCCCAAGCGACUGUUUAUCAAAAACACAGGUCUCUGCUAAACCGUAAGGUGAUGUAUAGGGGCUGACGCCUGCCCGGUGCUGGAAGGUUAAGAGGAGUGGUUAGCUUCUGCGAAGCUACGAAUCGAAGCCCCAGUAAACGGCGGCCGUAACUAUAACGGUCCUAAGGUAGCGAAAUUCCUUGUCGGGUAAGUUCCGACCCGCACGAAAGGCGUAACGAUUUGGGCACUGUCUCAACGAGAGACUCGGUGAAAUCAUAGUACCUGUGAAGAUGCAGGUUACCCGCGACAGGACGGAAAGACCCCGUGGAGCUUUACUGUAGCCUGAUAUUGAAAUUCGGCACAGCUUGUACAGGAUAGGUAGGAGCCUUUGAAACGUGAGCGCUAGCUUACGUGGAGGCGCUGGUGGGAUACUACCCUAGCUGUGUUGGCUUUCUAACCCGCACCACUUAUCGUGGUGGGAGACAGUGUCAGGCGGGCAGUUUGACUGGGGCGGUCGCCUCCUAAAAGGUAACGGAGGCGCUCAAAGGUUCCCUCAGAAUGGUUGGAAAUCAUUCAUAGAGUGUAAAGGCAUAAGGGAGCUUGACUGCGAGACCUACAAGUCGAGCAGGGUCGAAAGACGGACUUAGUGAUCCGGUGGUUCCGCAUGGAAGGGCCAUCGCUCAACGGAUAAAAGCUACCCCGGGGAUAACAGGCUUAUCUCCCCCAAGAGUUCACAUCGACGGGGAGGUUUGGCACCUCGAUGUCGGCUCAUCGCAUCCUGGGGCUGUAGUCGGUCCCAAGGGUUGGGCUGUUCGCCCAUUAAAGCGGUACGCGAGCUGGGUUCAGAACGUCGUGAGACAGUUCGGUCCCUAUCCGUCGUGGGCGUAGGAAAUUUGAGAGGAGCUGUCCUUAGUACGAGAGGACCGGGAUGGACAUACCUCUGGUGUACCAGUUGUCGUGCCAACGGCAUAGCUGGGUAGCUAUGUGUGGACGGGAUAAGUGCUGAAAGCAUCUAAGCAUGAAGCCCCCCUCAAGAUGAGAUUUCCCAACUUCGGUUAUAAGAUCCCUCAAAGAUGAUGAGGUUAAUAGGUUCGAGGUGGAAGCAUGGUGACAUGUGGAGCUGACGAAUACUAAUCGAUCGAAGACUUAAUCAAAUU